RNAcentral lists this ribosomal RNA (253 nucleotides) under uncultured bacterium. RNAcentral describes it as "partial 16S ribosomal RNA". It matches the Rfam family "Bacterial small subunit ribosomal RNA", at positions 524 to 776 of the family's 1533-position model. The record is from RNAcentral.
UACGGAGGGUGCAAGCGUUAUCCGGAUUUACUGGGUUUAAAGGGUGUGUAGGCGGACUAUUAAGUCCGUGGUGAAAUCUCCGGGCUCAACCCGGAAACUGCCAUGGAUACUAUUAGUCUUGAAUGUUGUGGAGGUGGGCGGAACGGGUCAUGUAGCGGUGAAAUGCUUAGAGAUGACCCGGAACACCGAUUGCGAAGGCAGCCCACUACGCAACUAUUGACGCUGAGGCACGAAAGCGUGGGGAUCAAACAGG